RNAcentral lists this long non-coding RNA (41321 nucleotides) under Nicotiana benthamiana. RNAcentral's name for it is "long non-coding RNA (NBEN_LNC030175)". The record is from RNAcentral. Lineage: Eukaryota; Viridiplantae; Streptophyta; Magnoliopsida; Solanales; Solanaceae.
UUUUUUUUUCUCACGGUGCAUCAAGGGAUUACAUUGGAAAAAUUAAAUGAUGAGUACAUGUAGUUGAAUGUUGAGACAUAAAAGGAUGCUGUCUAUGUUAUGUUUCUUAGUAUAUUACUGUAACUAGUGAGGUUCCAAAAAAGAAAAACCAAUAUCCUUAUCUCUCUCUGUGAUUAGUGCUGUUUGGUUGCGAGUCAUAUAGUUUUAACCUCUGCAAUGCCUUUUUAGGUGGUCUUUCUUCUUCCCUAUUAACUAGGUUUUGUAUCCAUGUCUUAACAUGUUUGUCACAUAAGAAAUUUUCCGCAGAAAACUAGUUAUUCUUGAUUUUUUGUUCUAUUACAAUUAUAUGUUGCUCAAAGAAAAUGGACUGAACAGUCUGUAGCAGUUGAAUGGGUUUGCCAGAUGAGUUCACUCCAGUGUUAUUGAAAGCCAUUGCUUGGUCGUUUAAAGUUAUGAAGCGAUACAGCAAGGGCUAUCGCUUCAUCGAUGAAGCCAUGCGCUUUAGAGAAGUUUGCACUUCAAAUAAUGGUGCACAAAGUGAUUCCAACGAGAAUUUAUUGUUUCAUUGAACCUCAACUUUUAGAAGUUGGAUUAAUGCUGGCAUUUUCACAAAGUGAUUCCAACUAGAAUUGGUUGCUUCUUUGAACAUCAAUUUUGAGGAGUUGCAUUAAUACGGGGAUUAUUGUAUAUUGGGUACUGAAAUUAGUUAUUUUAACUGCAAUUUGAUUUUUAUUGUAGAGUAAAUUAAUAAAUGUUUGAUAUUUUCUUGUUUCCUGUUAAUUGUGCGCCUCACUUCUCGCUAUUCACUGCAAGUCCGUGGACCUUGUUUUAUUUUGUUGCAUGUUUUGCUUUUAAGAAUACUAGGUCACUCCUACCUUAAUGAACAACAUUUAUAACUUAUCGAAUGUUUCCACAAGACAUAGAUCGUAUUUAGCAUACUAAUUUGAUGUGAUUUCGUUCGUGAUAAAUUUUUGAUUUGCCAUAUAGGGAAGUCUGCUGCAAUUCAGUAUGGUAGUGGAGCUAUUUCUGGAUUCUUCAGUGAAGAUAACGUCAAAGUUGGUGACCUUGUUGUAACAGAUCAGGUGAGUGAGGCUCCUCACUUGUUUUAAGUGUCUUGAAAGUAGAAAUCUUACAUCUCAAGGUGUUGAUGUACUAGGAAUUUAUUGAGGCAACCAGAGAACCCAGUGUGACAUUUUUGGUAGCCAAGUUUGACGGUUAGGUCUUGGAUUCCAGGAGAUUUCAGUUGGAAAUGUUGUUCCAGUUUGGUACGUGGAUUUAGUUUGCUCUCUUUCUUUCCCACAAACCAAAGUAAUGCAGGAUAGGCUGGAUAUCUCUUUCUGUUUAAAUUUGAUUUGGUAUUCAUCUGGGCAGCAUCUCCUGUCUUUUCCAGGUACAACAUGGUCAAACAGGGUCUUAUCAAGGAUCCUGUCUUCUCAUUUUGGCUCAACCGAAAUACAGAGGAAGAACAAGGCGGAGAAAUCGUAUUUGGUGGGGUUGAUCCUAAUCACUAUAAGGGUGAAAUAACUUAUGUCCCAGUCACACAGAAAGGUUAUUGGCAGGGUUGUCAUUCCAUCAAUUCGUUACUAUGUAUGCUAUAAGGGAGAAAUAACUUAUGUCUCAGUCACACAGAAAGGUUAUUGGCAGGUUUGUCAUUCCGUCAAUUCGUUACUAUGUAUGUUCAUGUUUUGUACAAAUGCUAUCUUAAUCUUAGUAAUAUGAUUGGCAGUUUGAUACGGGUGAUGUUCUUAUCGAUGGUAAAGCUACUGGUAUGUUUUGCUGUGUACCUUUUGAAUUGGAUUGCUUAAUUUCGGGAAUAUAGAUAAAGGCUAUGUGCCUGGAUAUAGCCUUCCUUUGUGUUUUUAACAUGAACAUAUCGGGUGUAGGUUACUGUGAAAGUGGGUGCUCUGCAAUAGCGGAUUCAGGGACUUCUCUCUUGGCUGGUCCAACGGUAUUAUCUAUAGCCUUGAUUUUGGACAUAUCGCUUUUUUGUUAUGUUUUUGUUAUUUGUUUCCACCAUCAAAGUCAACCGCAAUUCGAUUAUUGAUUUCCUUGUUCCUUUGAACCUUCAACAGCUUGCUCAGCAAGAAAAGUAACAUUUUCCUAAGAUUCAUGCGUUAAAUAGAACGAAUCCUGCGUCUGAUCUGUGUUGUGUUUUAAUUUUUCAUCACAGAGAGGAUGUUAGUGAAAUUUGUUUUUCAUUUCUGAGGUUACCUUUGGAUAUACUAUCUUAGCUUAUCACUGGGCCGAAGUCUGUAAAUCUGCUUUCUCUUUCCUGUCUUUCAGUUUAAUACGUGUAAGCCUGCCUCAGUAGGUACUUGUUGUUUUCUGUUACUUGCUUUUAUUAAACUUCAAUGAGGAUGAUGCUUUUACUUCUGCUUUGGUCCUGGUGUUCUGUCGACUUAUCUAUUUACCCCUCUUCUAUUUGAAAGAAAAUUAUCCAACCCGAAAACUGUAGCCAGGUUUUAUCCUGUUGACUUGGAAAAUGUGACACUUAAAUGAAGUAAAAAUCUGCUGCCUUUUGUCUCUACAAAUUGAGGGGCGGACGUUUACCCAAACGGUGUCAUCCGACAUUGCUUGGUCGAAAUACUGUUCGGCCAAGAGAUCUUUUUGUUCUUUAAUCUUUGCCAAUUCAAGUUGAUCCAAGGCUCUUUCGAUCUCGGACCGAUCCCCUGGCUCUUCUUCAGCCGUUUUACUAUAUAGACAUAUAUAUAUGGGAAAAAACAGUACGUAAUAUAAAUUAUAAAUGACCAUUUAUGCGUGUAGCUGUCUCUGGUAUAAUGGUCAAGUGCUGUUUUUUCCCUACUUGACUUGAUGUCGUGGGAUUGACCUCAGCGGAAGGCAUUUUUUGAUUUCAAAUUUUUUAUCAUGGUCCUUUUAAAAACUAGAGUUUAUAUAAUGUUGAACCUUCAAUAUCAUCUUAAAAAAACAACUAAAUCUGGGGGACAUGACGAACUCCACGUUAAAAGUGAAAAAAUUUAUUUGAAUGCAUAAAGGAAGCUGUUUAAGCAUACAUAAUGUAAUUUAGAAUAAUAAUUUUAAAAAAAUUAUUCGACACCGCUUACUAAAAGUUCUGUGAACGUCCAUUGUACGAUUAAAACACUUCCAAGGUUGAGCAAUCUUAAAACCCACCCUUUUCCGUACAGACCAUAAUCACUAUGAUUAAUCAAGCCAUUGGAGCCUCUGGAGUUGCUAGCCAACAAUGCAAAUCUGUAGUGGAGCAGUACGGGCAGAUGAUCAUGGAUUUGCUGUUAGCAGAGGUGAGCAUUCAACUGUCUAACUGCAUUUUCAUUUUUGAUAUGCAGUUUCCUGUGCAGUUACAGCAAAAUGACACUUGGAAAUCUAGUUGCCUUUCCCAGUUAUCUAAUUGGUCCGCAUUUAAACAGGCACAUCCAAAGAAAAUCUGUUCACAGGUUGGAGUAUGCAAUUUUGAUGGAAACGGCGGAGUUCGGUUAGUCUUCAGGCUCUCUCUGCCCUUUCACGUGAACGUAUUGUGCAUUUGGUUAAUCUAUAAUGUUGAUAUAAAUACUGAAUUGUUCUGUGGCCUUUUUUCUGCAGUAUGGGAAUUGAGAGUGUUGUAGACGAGAAAGCUGGCAGAUCCACAGGACUGCAGGAUGGUAUGUGCUCUGCUUGUGAAAUGGCGGUCAUAUGGAUGGAGAAUCAACUGAGACAAAACCAGACUCAAGAUCGCAUAUUAAACUAUGUGAAUGAGGUAAACAUCUGUCACUGCAAUUUUCUCCCUUUCUUUGAAAAGAAUGCUGACUGACUGACAGCUUUGCGAGCGUCUCCCAAGCCCAUUGGGGGAAUCAGCUGUUGACUGUGGAAAGCUUUCUUCAAUGCCUAAAGUCUCUUUCACAAUUGGUGGCAAAGUGUUUGAUCUUUCCCCAAAUGAGGUAUGCUUUAUAAUGGUGUUUGCGAGUAAUAAACUUUGCUAUGCCUCUAGUAAUUCAACAUUGUCAAAGAGAGAGAAAUUAAGUGGCUCAUCAUAGAGUCUUUUUGUGGCAUUUCUACUAAUUGUCAUAUUACAAAACCGAUUCUAGUGCUUAAGGUUUUCAGUUUUUACAGAGAAGUAGAUGUUUGUUGUCAUCAAGAAGUACUUCUAUAUUUUGAGGUUGUGAGUAUUUCGAUUUUACAUCAAUUUAGAUGUCUCAUUUUCCAACUAAGUAAUCUAAGAGAACCUCCAUAAGAUCUUUGUGCCGUGAAAAAGUUACUCUUUUCUAUUUUUAUGGAAGUGUAUUACUUGCUGACCUUGCUAAUGCAAGCCGCUUGAGAAGGUCCAAUGAAUUGAGAUAUAGAUGUCGUCCCCCUUCCCAAAAAAAAUAUAAUAAUUUAUGUCUGGAUGAUUCAGCAUAGAACAAUUCUCUACCUUCAGUAGGCAGGGGUAAGGUCUGCGCACACUACCCUCCCACAGCUCACUUGUGGGAUUCCACUGGGUUGUUGUUGUUGUCGAUUCAGCAUAGAACAAAUCUUACAAAGAAGAAAAUUCAUCAAGUGUACACCAAAUCAACUUGAUCAUUCACGUUUUUUCUAAAUUUGUUUGUUCUGUGGUUUAGUGAACAUAAAGAGAUUGAGCUUUGAAUAAUUCAGGAUAGAACAUAUCUUACAAAGGAAAAAAUUCAAGUGAGACACCAAAUCACUUGACCAUACGCAAAACUUUUCUUUACCAGACCAUCACUCUAGUCUUUUCCUGCCCUUUCAACAAAUUUUAUUCAAGAAUGAGAGUGAAGUUGUAAUCCGAAGUGUGGUUCUAUUUUACUUGUUUCAGUUGUCUGUUUAGCUUGCUGACCUAGAUUGAUCUAUAUUCUAGUUUUGGAUUCUUUUCCCGUGAUCAGUACAUACUCAAGGUGGGAGAGGGUGCUAAGGCACAAUGUAUUAGUGGUUUCACUGGCUUGGACAUUCCUCCUCCCCGCGGACCUCUCUGGUAAAGUUAUCUUUAUAUGAUCUCUCUAUUUUAGUUUAUAAACAUGUUUUUUGAGAUAAAUACUAGCAAUGUAGUUAAUCCAACAGCAAGCUUAAUCCGAAUUAUAGAGCUACGGCACAAUUAAACCCGAGCCAGCAAUUCUUUUGUUCACCGAGUUUUCUAUGGUAUUCCUUUGGUUACAGGAUCUUGGGUGAUGUUUUCAUGGGUCGAUAUCACACAGUCUUCGAUUAUGGCAAACUCAGAGUUGGAUUUGCUGAAGCAGCUUAAUAAAACCAAUGACCCUACAUCCACCCCCUUCUAUACCUGCUCCCAGAUAUAGCAAAUGGAUUUGAGAUGUAUGAACACUCUUAAGGUGUUGGAAAAAACUAUACUUGUAAAUAUUUCCUUCUAUCUUCGACUCUGAGAUGAAGCACUGCUACUAUGUCCUUUGUGCGUUUAGCUGUUUGUGUUAUUUUGGUUGAAAUUUAAAGUCAGGUGAAUGUGCUUAAGGUUGUGUCAUAUGAUUUAUGAUUCUAUUGUCAACGCAGCAGGAUUCAUGAUGUUGAUACCAGUGUUUGCCAUUAAGAAAUUUCCUUCCUAAAGAAGAAUAAGACAAGUUAUAUAGGAACCCUUAUUCUUUGUCCUACCAUCUGCAUAAUAUGCGCUAUUCUUCCAGUUGUUAGAUAAACGCCUCAUUCAAGCUAGUUGGAAUUGGAUAUUCAUACGGACAAUUUUUUUAUUUUUUAUUUUUUGUUUGGCGAAAUGUUAGAUUCAAACAUUUAAUGACCAAAACUUAGUUACAAUUAAGGGUGUUAAACGGCUCUACCGGGCCGGUCUAGGUCUGAAAUUUUUCGACCCGUCUGGGUUUCGGGCCGGGCCGGGUUGCGCAGUGACGGGUUCAUACCGAGCUGGGUUAGUUCGGGUUAAAAUUGAACAAUACGGGUUACGGGUUGAAGGGGGCCGGGCCGAGUCCGGUUUAGUAUAUAUAUAUUUUUUGGAAUUAUGUGUAGUAUAACUAUUAAAUUAUAUUAAUACUUUGUAAUAAUUGAAUGAAUACAAGUAAGAUGUGAAAAAAUUACACUUAUUACAAAUGCUACUUUAUUCCUUAAUUUCAAAUUGAAAAAGUAGAAAAUGAAAUGUUUACAUUUUUUCUAACAAGUAAACUAGNNNNNNNNNNNNNNNNNNNNNNNNNNNNNNNNNNNNNNNNNNNNNNNNNNNNNNNNNNNNNNNNNNNNNNNNNNNNNNNNNNNNNNNNNNNNNNNNNNNNNNNNNNNNNNNNNNNNNNNNNNNNNNNNNNNNNNNNNNNNNNNNNNNNNNNNNNNNNNNNNNNNNNNNNNNNNNNNNNNNNNNNNNNNNNNNNNNNNNNNNNNNNNNNNNNNNNNNNNNNGAUCUAAUCCAAUAUCUGAAACAUACUAAAACUUCCAAAGCAUUGCUUCCCAAUGAGUGACGGGUGUCUCCAAGUUGUUGUCUUGCUUGGCUAAGUGCCCUCUCUGAUGCAACAGUGGAAAUUGGCACAUUCAAGACGUCUCGAACUAUAGCGAAAAGAACGGGAAAUUGCUUUUCAUUUCAUGUCACCAUCCCAACGGUGAAAAUUCCUUUGUGCGAGGCUCCUUUUGCUUCUGGAAGUAGAAUUGAAGCUCAUCAAUAUUCCUGCUAUUCUUUGAGCUUGAGGUACUAGAGGCACCUGAUCUUCAACAUUAUCAUCUUCCUCCUCCCUCGGGAGAACAUUUUUGAGUGGAUCAUUAUUUUCUAUUUUUUACGUGAAUCGAUUAACUCAUACAAGUUACUAAAACAGAAGGAAAGAAAAACAAGACAUACAACUAGUCAGAUAGAUAUCCAAAAUCGUUUAACUCCCCGACAACAGCACCAAAAGGUGAUCAGCUCCAACGUUGCAACACAAUAUAACGACGAGGAGUGGUCGAUGCAGCUUUUCCCUGAAAGUUCAGGAUCGAUAUCCAUAGGGAGUUAAUAUUGGUUGGGAGUUAGGUUUCUAUUGAUUUAAAACUGCACCAAUUAAGUAAAUCAGAGGAAUUGGAAAGAAAGAUUUUUUAAACUUUUCUUGCAAUUUUUCCAACAACAUCCUUAUAUUUUUCUUUCUUCUUAAAUUCAGAUAGUAGCAAAAAAUUUCAGCUAUAUGUACUAAAGUCAUAGUAACAGUGGGGUAAUAUGCGCCAGAAAACACAACAGUAUCAGUAUAAAAUUUAUGUAAAAAUUUAACAACAUCAUUAAUGACCUCCCAAGUAUCAGUUGUUAACAUACGCCUAGGAUCAGUACAAUGUGCAUUAGCAACUUCAGUUAUAGGAACCAUGUUAUUUAAUUUUCGCACAUCGUUUUCUAUUUCUGUCAUCAGGCAUGUGACGACCCAACCCUUCAUCUCAUGAGUUGCCGCUCUGUUUUCUCCAUUUCUACUUCUCCAUUUCUAGAAAAUUGCAUAUCAGUGUUGUAGAGAAAUGGCUUUCACGUUUGAGAGUAGGCCUCGUGUUCGCGAAGGGUUAGCUUGUGAAGGUUGAAAUUUUAGUCUUUGCGUUCGCGAGGAAGGCUCUGUGUUCGCGAAUGGCUGAGUGUUUUAGCAUCACGUUCGUGGGUGAAGCUCCAUGUUCGUAUAGAGGAAAUUGGACAACUAGGUUUGAUGUGUUUUGUUCAUCACGUUCGUGAAAGAGGGGGUGCAUUCGUGAAGAGUUGUCUGAGGAAGCAUCGCGUACACGAUCGCGAAGAGGAAAAUUCUGGUCAAAGUUGAGUUGUCUAGUCAAAGUUGAGUUGGUCAACCUAAGCAGGUUGUGCAGAGGCUCCAAACAUUGGGGGCAACUCCAGCCCAGCCGGUUUCACCAGCCUAGGAGUAUGUGGUACUGGUUAUGCCGGACGAUGAGCAGCGUGAGCUAGAGAGAUUUGGUAGACUUCAGCCUCCGACUUUGUGCAGAGGGCGAGGAUGCAAAGGGUUUCUUGGAUAAAUGUCAUAGGAUGCUUCGUACAACGGGUAUUCUAGAGACUAGAAGUGUAGCAUUUAUUACUUUUCAGUUUUCUGGGGCUGCCUUCACUUGGUGGAAGGCUUAGAGAGGCAUAAACCUGUUGGUGCAGCGUCCCUUACCUAGCAGUAGUUCUCCGCUCUUUUUCUGGAGAAGUAUGUGCCACAGUAUCGCUGCGAGAAGCUGUGCAGGCAGUUUGAGCUGUUGCACCAAGGAGAGAUGACUAUGAUGCAGUAUGAGACGUGGUUCUCUAAGUUAGCUCGUUAUGCGGUCUGGCUGGUUCCCACAAAUCCAGUGAGGAUCAGGAGGUUUGUUGUUGGCCUCACAUAUUAGAUUCAGAUUCUUAUGACUAGGGCGAGGGUUACAGGUGAUACGUUUAAGGAGGUUGUUGACACAGCCCGUGAGAUUGAGUCGGUUUGUCGCCAGGAGAAUGAGGAGAGAGAGGCCAAGAGGCCUCGGGGAUCUGGUAGCUUUAGUAGUGCUUCUUCAAAGGGUCAGUUCUAGUAAAGCAGAGGCUGUCUAUUCAGAAAGGCUCAGCCAGCUCGUGUAGGUUAUUGUGGGACAUUAUCGUCUCAUGGUUCUCAUAGUUUUCAUCAGGGCCAUUCAUCACUCAGUGCCCUUCCAACCUAGAGUUCAUUAUGUGCUCCAUCAGUUCAGGGUUCUUCCAUGCCAAGUCCUUCUACUAGUCAUUCCGGUGCAAGGGUUUCCCUUCAAUACCCAUCUCCAGCACCGGGGAGUUGUUAUGAGUGUGGAGAGUUUAGGCAUAGGAGGAGGCAGUGUCCUUGUCUUCAUGACGGUCCAUCUCAACAGAGGGGUCAACCCUCGACUUCAUCUAUAGUUACUUCACCACCUACCCAGCGAACAAUAGGUGGAGGUAAGUCAGCUGGGGGUCUCCCUAGAGGGGGAGGUCGAUUAGGUGGUGGUCAGGCCCAUUUUUAUGCCCUCCCAGGUAGACCAGAUGCUGUUGCUGCUUUAGAUGCCAUGAUUUCAGGUAUUGUUUCAGUCUGUCACAGAGAUGCCUCAAUAUUAUUUGAUCCUGGUUCCACCUUUUCUUGUGUGUUAUCAUACUUUGCUCAUUAUCUGGAUAGGCCCCGUGAGUCACUUGUUUCACCUGUUCAUGUAUCUACUGAGGUGGGCAAUACUGUUGUUGUAGACCAUGUGUACUUGUCAUGUGUGGUGACUAUUGGGGGUCUAGACACCCGAGUGGAUCUUUUAUUAUUGUGUAUGGUGGAUUUUGAUGUCAUUUUGGGCUUGGAUUGGCUAUCUUCAUGUCAUGCUAUUCUGGGCUAUCAUGCCAAGAUAGUAACAUUGGCUAUACCGUGUGUGCCACAUAUCGAGAGGCGAGGUUUGACUAAUUAUGUUCCCAACAAAGUGUUCUCAUUCUUGAAGGCCUAGCGUAUGGUUGGGAAUGUAUGUCUUUCUUAUCUAGACUUUGUGAGGGAUGUCGGUGCAGAGACUGUCCCAGUUGUGAGGGAUGUUCCCAAUGUGUUUCCUGAUGAUCUGCCAUGCAUGCCACCAGUACAGGGAUAUUGAUUUUGGUAUUGACCUGGUGCAGGGCACUCAGCCUAUUUCUAUUCCACCUUAUCGCAUGGUACCAGCAGUGUUGAAAGAGUUAAAGGAACAACAUUAGGAACUCCUUGAUAAGGUGUUCAUUCGGCCUAGUGUGUCACCUUGGGGUGCGCCGGUUCUAUUUGUGAAGAAGAAUGGUACUAUGAGGAUGUGCAUUGAUUAUAGGCAAUUGUACAAAGUAACAGUUAAGAACAAGUAUCCUUUACCUCGCAUUGAUGAUUUAUUCGACUAGAUUCAGGGGGCGAGAGUGUUCUCCAAGAAUGAUCUCCGUUCAAAUUAUCACCUGUUGAAGAUCAAGGACUCGUAUAUUCUUAAGACAACUUUCAGGACCCGAUAUAGUCAUUAUGAGUUCUUGGUGAUGUCUUUUGGGCUGACCAAUGCCCCAACACUGUUCAUGCAUUUGAUGAACACUGUAUUUCGGCCUUAUCUCGACUCAUUUGUCAUAGUCUUCAUUGAUGAUAUUCUAGUGUAUUUGCAUAGUCAGGAGAAACUCGCGGAGGAUUCGAGAGUUGUGUUGUAGAGAUUGAGGGAGGAUAAACUUUAUGCAAAAUUCUCCAAGUAUGAGUUUUAUCUCAGGUCAGUGGCUUUCUUGGGGCACGUGGUUUCAAAUGAAGGUAUUCAGGUUGAUCCGAAGAAGAUGGAGGUAGUUUAGAGUUGACCCAGACCGUCCUCAACCACAAAGAUUCGCAGCUUCCUUGGUUUGGCGGGUUAUUAUCGCCAGUUUGUUCAAGGCAUCUCAUCUAUUGCAUCGCCUUUGACCAAGUUGACUUAGAAGCAUAAUUCAUUUGUAUGGUCGGAUGCGCGUGAGGAGAGCUUUAAGAAGCUUAAGAUGGCCUUAACCACAGGUCUAGUGCUAGUUUUUUCAUCAGCUUCAAGUUCAUAUACCGUGCAUUGUGAUUCUUCAAGAGUUGGUAUUGGGUGUGUAUUGAUGCAGGAGAGUAGAGUUAUUUCUUAUGCUUUUUGUCAGUUGAAGCCCCAUGAGAAGAACUACCCCAUUCAUGAUUUGGAGUUGGCUGCCAUAGUUCAUGCGUUGAAGAUUUAGAUGCAUUACUUGUAUAGUGUGUCUUGGAGGUGUUUACUAAUAAUCGUAGCCUCCAGCACUUGUUCGAACAUAACAAUCUCAGUUUGAGGUAGCAGAGAUGGUUAGAGUUGUUAAAGGAUUAUGAUAUCACUAUAUUGUACCAUCCGGGAAAGGCCAAUGUGGUGGCCGAUGACUUGAGCCAAAAGGUGGUGAGUGUGGGGAGUUUGACAUAUAUUCUAGUUAGGGAGAGACCUCUUGCAGUUGAUUUUUUGGCCUUGGCCAAUCGUUUCGUGAGGUUGGAUAUUUCGGAGCAUAUUCGGAUAUUGGCUUGUGUGAUUUCUCGGUCUUCCUUAUAUGAUUACAUCAGAUAGCACCAAUAUGAUGAUAUGCACUUUCUUGUCCUUAAGUACAGAGUUCAGCAUGAUGAUGCCAGGGAUGUGACUAUUGGUGAUAAUGGGGCGUUGAGGAUGCAUGGUCGGAUAUGUGCACCCAAUAUGGAUGGACUUCGAUCUUUGAUUGUAGAGGAGGCCCAUAGCUCACGAUAUUCCAUUCAUCUGGGUUCCGCAAAGAUGUAUCAGGAUCUGAGACAUCAUUAUUGGUGGAGGAGAAUACAGAAAGACAUUGUGGGAUUUGUGGCUCGGUGUCUUAAUUAUGAUCAGGUGAAAUAUGAGCAUCAUAAACUGGGUGGCCUGCAUCAGCGGAUGGAUAUUCCAGAGUGGAAGUGGGAGCGGAUCACCAUGGAAUUUGUAGUUAGGCUCCCACGGAUUUUGAAGACAUUCGAUGCUAUUUGGGUGAUUGUGGAUCGGUUGACCAAGUCUGCGUACUUCAUUCCUAUGUUUACUACCUAUUCAUCAGAGUGGUUGGCAGAGACCUAUAUCCGGGAGAUUGUUGGUUAGCAUGGUGUCCCAGUUUCCAUCAUUUCAGAUAGGGGUGCUCAGUUUACUUCGCAUUUUGUGAGGUCUGUGUAGUAGAGUUGGGUACUCAGGUUGAGUUGAGAACAAAUUUUCACCUUCAGACGGAUGGGCAGUUAGAGGAUACUAUUCAGAUAUUGGAGGAUAUGUCACAUGUUUGUUUCAUUGAUUUCGAUGGGUCAUGGGAUCUGUUUCUACCGCUUGCAAAGUUUGCUUCUAACAACAUCUACUAGACGAGUAUUCAGAUGGAUCCAUAUGAGGCUUUGUGUGGGAGGCGUAGAUCUCCAGUUGGUUGGUUUGAGCUGGGUGAGGUAAGGCUAUUAGGGACAGACUUGGUAUAGGAUUCCUUAGGAAAUGUCAAGGUAAUUUAGAGGAGGCUUCGUACAGUGCAGUCGAGACUGUCGCACCUCAUUUUUCCGCCCCUGCAAGGGCGCAAAUGAGUUUUUCCAAUUAAAGGACAAUCGAACGCGAUUCGUUUAUUUAAUUUAGAGUCGCCACUUGGGAGAUUUAGGGUGUACUAAGUCACCGGUUUAAUCCCGAAUUGAGGAAAAGAAUGAAUCUAUAUUACAGUUUGUAGUACCAGAAAUCCGGACAAGGAAUUCGAUUAACCCGGGAGAAGGUGUUAGGCAUUCCCGAAUUCCGUGGUUCUAGCAUGGUUGCUCAACUGUCAUAUUUAGCUUAUUUAUCUGAUUCCAUAACAUGACUAACUUAUAUGCAAAUUUUAACUUUGAAACGCUUUUAUCAUUUAUUUAUUAUUAAAAGAAUUGCAACGUCAUGAGAAUGCAUCUCAAAUUGUGUCACAUAGAAGUAUCCAAAAUUUUUUAUGUGUUCCGACUUCGUUAAGAUUUGAAUUUGGGUCACAUAAAUGUAUACCUGAGUCCAGGGAGGUAACAUUAUUAAAAUACACACCUAGAGAUGCUAACAAGUUAUUAUUUUUGCGGAGGCCGUGAAGUUCGCUAAACGACAUGUCCCGAAAUCUAUGCAUUUAUAUAUACAUUUAAUAAGGGCCCCGUAGUUGGUAUUUUUGUUUUGGAGAGGUGCGUCUUAUUUCAUUUUGAAAGGAUGUCCUAGAGCGACUACAUUUGUUGUUUCAUUGCGUCUCUAAAAAUGGAAGGAAUGUCCUAUAUUAUUUACAUGCUAGAAUUAUUAGCCUAAGUUAUAAACAUGGUAUCAAUUUUGAAAUGAAAAGGGGGGAAAAAGGGAAGUUCUAUCGUUUUUCGGCCCAGGACAAGCGUGAAUAAUACAGAAAUUGGGCUUGGGCCAUCUUAUAUUGUUUUGGGCCUAAAUUACAUCAUACUGCAUGUUUCGAAUUUUCAAGAUGGUAGAAACAAAAUCAAACAAUAAGGAAAAGAAAAUCUGUUUGCAAGAGUUGAAUGAACAAAUAAUUAAUUAAGCAGGUAAACUACUGAUUACUUAACAAAUUUAAACUUAGCCAUGCAUUUUAAAGGGACUACAGGUGAAACAAAUUGAAAUGACGGAAAACUUACUGCAGUACUGAUCCUAAUCUAACUAGCAUACAUGAGUUUGCUGGUUUUUGAAACAGCCUCUCUAUUAGGUAGGGGUAAGGCUCGUCUACAUAUUACCCUCCCCAGACCCCACUUUGUGGGACUAUACUGGGUAGUUGUUGUUGUUAUACACGAGUUUGCGACUUUAACCUAUUACAAAUUGGACCUAAUCGAUACAUUGCAGUUAAUUACAUGAUUCGAGUGAGUUAAUAAUUAACAUAUAGAUAUUCAGCUUAGAAUAUAAAUUACAGCUAAUAGGUUUCAAGCCUUAAGGUUGAAUUUUUUAUUCAUGCUUCAAGUGUUCCAGUUUACAUUGUGUACCAGGAUAGAAGUUGUGUACCUGGUAAUUAACAAAUCAAAGGAAAAGAGGAAGAUCAGAAAUGAGCAGCAGUAGCACAGCACAUCAACACAGCUUUCAGCAACAAAUUCAGCAACACCAAUGGUAGACCAAUAAUAACACCAAUGGAACAGUGAUGCAAAAAUCCCAGUACCAGAUUUGAAAACCCACAAACAAAUUCCAAUAACCAAUAGAACGGUAGCCCAAUAACUCACCAAACUCCGGAAGAGAACUUAUGAAAACCCAAAAAUAUUUAUAGCAAUCAACAAGUCGAAAGAAAAUGAACCAGAACCAGUGAACAGAAGGACAGUUCUGAUUCUUUUAGGAUUCAAAAGUUAGUUUAUAUUUCACCCUUAAAUUCUGAAAAUCUUAUUGUCAAAAAUUCCCUCUUUGUUUUGAGUUUUGCUCUCUCUAUCUCUCCGAUUGUCUUCCUCAAACUGAAUAUGCUUUUUCUAUUUAAAGACCAAAAUCAGUCAAUUCUUUAUUCAGAUUAUAGCUUUUUCAGCAUGUAUUCCCCAUCCCAUUUGUAUUUCUACCCUUUCAUCAUUAACCCCAUGCUUAUUUUCUGAUUUCCCCACUGAAAAAUUUCAAAAGUAUAUUACCUGAAGUUCCUAUUUAAAAUUCAAAAAGGAGUAUAUUCCCCUGACAGUGACCUUUUUUAUUAUCAAAAGACUUUCCUUUUAUUAAACUAAACAAAUAUGGCCAGGCUAAAUCAGGCGUGCCUGACGGCCCAUAUUAUAUUCACUCAAACGGAUUCAAAUAACAAAUAGAAAAGUGAAUUAAAUGUUUUACUGAAGCAUAUAGACCACCUGAUAAUCACAUGGCUUCUAUUCAAACUUAGCAGUUUAAUUCAGUGAAUUACAUUCAAUUAAUCAGUUAAAACAAAUCCCAGCCUGAUCAAUAAAUGGUAGAAACUGAAUCAAAAAUCAGAAUUGAAGCAAAUAUGAACCAAAAUCAUCAAGUCAUUCCAACAUUCAAAAUUGUAAAAUUAGUCGACGACAUUUAUUAAAUUGACUAUAUAUUACGACAUAUAUAAUCGACGCACAAAUAGUGAUUCACAAUUCUUGGGCAACAAGAGGGUAAAUGUGAAACUAAUCAUUCGACGAUAUUAAUCGAAACGAAUAUGUGUUCUAUAACAAACGCAAUUAACAAACAAUCAGAACAAAAAUCAACCAAAUAAAAGGACUUGAGGAGGAGAACAACAGAGUUGGCAAAAAUGAAAAGGAUAACAGAAUAAAAAAAAAGAACCUAAUAACGAGUAUAAACAUAGAAGAAAUAAAGCAGAAUACCUCGAGAGAAAAAGCAGAGAUCAAAACGGACUUGGACAAAUUGCGGACUUGAACUUUCGAGGUCAAACGGAUUUUAAUUGAAUUGUUCUCAACAAAGAACACCUUAAUUAAAUUCAAUUAGACCCCAAACCUUAAUUAAUCGCAUGGAUUUCCUAAUUUGGUUCUCUAGGGUUCUUGAGGGCUCAAUUUGGGCUUCGAGUGGUUUAAGCUUGAUUCGAACAGGAACAAAGGUGUUUAUGGCAUGAGGGAUGUCACGGGGUUCCAUGGUGUGAGUUUGAGGCUAGUUGGUGUAGGUUUGGGUCCCAUAAACUGAAACACUUGAAGCAUGAAUAAAAAUUCUAAGACAUGAAAAGUAUUCCCUUGUUAUUCUAAGACAUGAAAUGUAUUCCCUUGUUAUACAGGUGGGCGCCUGAUUAUGAAAUGUAUUUCCUUGUUAUGCAGGUGGGCGACUAAUUACUAGAUGUAUUCCCUUGUCAUGCAGGUGGGUGCCUAAUUACUAAGAUAUGAAAUGUAUUCCCUUAUUAUGCAGGUGGGCACCUAAUUGCUAAGACAUGAAAUGUAUUCCCUUAUUAUGCAGGUGGGCACCUAAUUGCUAAGACGUAAAAACUAUUCCAUUGUUAUACAGGUGGGCGCCUAAUUGGUAAAGACGUGAAAAUUAUUCCCUUGCUAUACAGGUGGGCGCCUAAUUGGUAAAGACGUGAAAAGUAUUACCUCAUUAUAAAGGUGAGCGCCUAAUUGCAAAAGACGUGAAAAGUAUUCCCUUGUUAUACAGGUGGACGCCUAAUUAUCUAAAGACAUGAAAAUAUUUGAAUUUGUUUCCUCAUUCCUUCGAGAAAUUUUUUGACAACGGCAGAAAAUUUUCUGCCACAGUUUUGUUGAUCUUACUUGUGGCGUGUCUUUCUGCCACCAUCAACCCUUAUUUUCCUGUAGAAAUCAAAGAAAAUCUUGUUAGUUUAAAACAUGGUGAGUGAUCGUGUCACUCCUUCCGGGGAUGGUUUUUCCUUUCCCUUUUCCUUGCUCUGUGUUGCCAAAACUGGUUGGGGAUAACAUUACUUGCCGGGGAUGAUAUUUCUGUUGGGGAUGGAUUUUCCAUUUAUCCCUUCCCCGCUCUUUUGUUUCAAAACAUGCUGGGGAAGUCUUUUUCAACUCCAAAACUACUCCCUUCAAAAUCUGGGGGUGACAUUAGUGGGGAUAAGACAUCUUGGGUUACUUUGCUGCGGAUGAAUUCUCCCUUUCUCCUUCCCCUUUUCUUGUGUUGUCUAACCACCUUUGAACUUGGUCAGUGAUCCAUCGAAGUUCUGCUGGGGGUCCUCUUGGAACUUGAUCCAUAAGUUCCUCGACCGUUUCUUUCCAGCUUUUCUCCAUAUUUCCCUUAACUUUCUAGGAAAGUUUGACAUUUGGUCUUGCAACAAAUGCCUUAUUCAUCUAAUUGCCAUACCUUUGUCUUGUCCUCUUCCUAUUUAUCUUUGUACCGUUUUGGCAACUGGUAGUAAACUCUGAAAAAUCCUUCUCAAAAUUAAAUUUCUGGAAAAAGUCUUUUUGACACAGAAAUGAAAAGAUAGAAAAGAGAAAAAUCUUUCUGAACAAAUGCUAGGGGAAAAGAAAAGGAAAGAACUUAUCUGGACCGUAUGACUGGUCCAAACGAUCAUGUCGUGCAUUCCGUAUUAAUCGACCCAGUCUAUUUGUAUCAAUCAAUCAUUAUGAUGGCCUCAUUUGCCGGGGAUAAAUAGAUGCCCAACUCUUUGCCAUAUGCGGAUCCUUUUCGCCAAUCGCAUCUUAUAACCUUAUUGUGCCCUUCAAGAGGUUUUCACUAAUAAGAAUAUCUCCUUUCUCUCAGCUCGCGUCACUUUAUGGUUCCUGUAAAGUUUUUCACCAAAAUACUCUCUCAUUUUGUUUCUCUCAGCUUACGUCGCCUUAUGGUGCUUGUGAAGGUUUUCACCGAUAAACUCUCACUUUAGUUUUUUCAGCUGGGGAUCAUAGUGUUACCGAUAAGAUUCUCUCUACUAGGAAUUUUUUUUCCUAUCAAUUUCUUCAGCUUAUGACCCUUGUCCGGUCAGGGAUCAUCAUAUUGCCCUUGGCUUUCAUCUGCCUGACUUGGCACCUCUCAAAUAAUGAUCGGGAGGUGUUUUUUGACAUACGAUGUUGGUUUUGUGUGGGUAAAGAAAAGAAAAGGUUAUCAGGAAAUUAAAUAUAACUUGAUGGGUAAGAGAUUACAACUCUAAGAAUCAAACUUCUUCCAAAAAUUAAAAAAAUAUAACUUCUGCCCCAGUUUUCUUGCUUAGGGAACUUUUGAUUUGCGUGACAUUUUGUCACAUUGCCACCAAGCCAUGAGGCGCCUACGUAUCUUCUUGGAGGAAUCAGGUCAAACGUAGUUCACAUAGACAUAUGUGAUACAACAAGAAUGAAACGUGACAUUUUGUCACACUACGACCGAGCCGUGAGGCGCCUACGUAUCCUUUCUUGAGGAGUCAGGUCAAACGUAGUUCAGGAAUUCCUUUGUUUUUCUUGUGACUUUUCUCUUGUUUUAUAUUCUUUUUUUUGUUUUUUCCUUCUUUUCUUUUCUCCUUCUUUCAUAAUUAAUUUUUUUUUAAUUUUCAUUAAUGAUUCCAAAAGAGGGGUAUGAAAGAAUAAGUAAGGCUCAAAAGGGAAAAGAAAAGGUUGAAAGUGUUUGAAUAGAAGAAAGAAUUGCCUCCGUCAUUUCAUUAUCCAAUACGUACCAAAUACAAACAAAUGAACAAAUAACUAUCAUAGUCAAAGAAAUUACACAUAGUAUCUCUUGACUGCAUCAGAAUUGAUAGCCAUGUCGAUGCAUCUUCCUUCGACAUCUGUCAGACAAAAAGUGCCAUUGGAUAACACUUUGGUCACAAUAUAAGGCCCUUGCCAAUUUGGGGCGAACUUUCCUUUUGCUUCGACCUGACGUGGGAGGAUCCGUUUCAAUACUUGCUGCCCUACUUCAAAUUUUUUUGGGGCGCACCUUCUUAUUGUAUGCUCUUGCCAUCCUCUUCUGAUACAACUGGCCAUGACAUACUGCUGCCAAUCUCUUUUCAUCUUUUGCUGCCCUACUUCAAAUUUUUUGGGGCGCACCUUCUUAUUGUAUGCUAUUUCCAUUCUCUUCUUAUACAACUGGCCAUGACAUACUGCUGCCAUUCUCUUUUCAUCUAUUAAGCUCAACUGCUCCACUCAAGCUUUAACCCAUUCAUCAUUAUCAAUCUUGGCUUUAGAGACUAUCCGGAGGGAUGGAAUUUAGAACUCUGUUGGCAUUACUAAUUCAGUUCCGUAUACCGGCAGAUAAGGAGUUGCACCAACUGAAGUACGAACAGUAGUGCGAUAACAUAACAAUGCAAAGUGUAGUUUUUCGUGCCACCGUCUGGACCCUUCUACCAUCUUUCUCAAAAUCUUCUUUAUGUUCUUGUUGGCUGCCUCAACUGCACCAUUCGCCUUUGGACGAUACGGGGUGGAAUUACGGUGUGUAAUCUUGAACUAUUGACAUACUUCUUUCAUCAAACUGUUGUUAAGAUUAUCACCGUUGUCUGUGAUGAUUACCUUUUGGAUCCCAAAUCUACAGACGAUAUGGGAAUGGACAAAAUCCACCACUGCCUUCCCGGUCACUAACUUGAAAGUCUUGGCCUCUACCCAUUUGGUGAAAUAAUCAAUGGUUACCAGAAUGAACCUAUGACCAUUGGAAGCUGCCAGUUCAAUAGGUCCAAUGACAUCCAUGCCUCAUGCAACAAAUGGCCAAGGUGCUGACAUUGUAUGCAAUUCUGUUGGCGGAGAAUGAAUCAGAUCUCUGUGCACCUGACACUGAUGGCAUUUCCUCACGAAGCUGAUACAAUCAUGCUCCAUACUGAGCCAAUAAUAUCCUGCUCAUGGAAUCUUCUUUUCCAAUACAUAUCCGCUCAUAUGUGGCUCACAAACUUCUGCAUGGACCUCUUUCAUUACUGUCAUGGCUUGACCGGCAUCUAUUCAUCUCAGCAAUCCCAAAUCCAGAGUUCUUUUGUACAACACUCCUCCACUAAGGAAAAACCCAUUUGCCAAUCGCCGAAUGUAUCUCUUUUUAUCUCUGGUUGCCUAUUCUGGGUAUAUCCCCAUUCGGAGGUGUUCCUUAACAUCAUAAAACCAUGGCUCACCAUCAAUUUCUUCCUCUAUCAUGCUACAAUAAGCAUGUUACUCAUGAACCUGAAUAUGCAAUGGGUCAACAUGAACCUUAUCUGGGUGAUGCAACAUUGAUGCUAAGGUGGCCAAUGCAUCAGUAACCUCAUUGUGAACUCUUGGAAUGUUUUUGAACUCCACCGAUCAAAAUCGCUUGCUCAGAUUGUGCAAGCAUUGUCGAUAUGGUAUAAGCUUCAAAUCCCAUAUUUCCCAUUCACCUUGAAUUUGAUAUACCAGGAGGUCUGACUCCCCAAAGACCAAGACGUCCAGGACAUCCAUGUCUGCGGCUAAUCGUAACCCUAAGAUACAGGCCUUAUAUUCAGCCAUGUUGUUGGUACAAUAGAAACGUACUUGAGCCGUAACAAGAUAAUGAUGUCCUGUUUCUGAAACGAGCACUGCUCAUAUUCCAACUCCCUUUGAAUUUGCGACUCCAUCAAAGAAAAGUUUCCCUCCUGGUUCCUCAAUCGAUUCUACCUCAUCCACAUGCAUCACUUCUUAAUCGGGGAAAUACAUCCUCAAGGGUUCAUACUCUUCAUCAACAGGGUUCUCAUCCAAAUGAUCUGCCAACGCUUGGGCCUUCAUGGCCAUCCUCGUCAUAUCGGCGAUGUCGAAUUCUGUGAGUAAUAUAUACCAUUUUGCUAGCCUUCCUGUGGGCAUAGGUGUUUAACCGAAAAAUGCAAUUUGGUCAAAGCUUGAAUUUUAAUAAGAAGAAAUCGGGUUAGUGAUAAUCAACGAGACCGAAAUAUAAUUGGCUUUCAAAGAAUAAGAAUAAAGCAAUAAGAAGUUUGUAUUUCACUAUGAUGUCAAUAAUAUUCUGUGUCCUUAACAAUGAUGAAAAUUCCUCCUUUCAUAGUUGACAAGGAGUAAUGUAUUGAUUUAAAUAAUAAAUAGCAUUUAAUGAGAUGUUACAUAAUCAUUGCUAUUAAAUACUGAUUAACUAACAUAUCAUGUAUUUAAUAAUAACGUAGACCACUUUUUGUCAUCAGAUUCUUGCCUUCAUUACCCUUUUUAUCUGUUGAUAUUAAAUGACUUGAACAUUUAAUAAGAAGUGUAGACUACUUUUUGUCAUCAGAUUCUUGCCUCCAAUGCCCUUUUUAUCCAUUGAUAUUAAAUGACUUGAAUAGGCAUGAGAUUCGUAUCUAAGAUUCUCUCUCGUAUCUGUUUUAUUUCCUUCACCCGUGCCUGUUAUCUUUCGUGCCUUUUAAUCAUUAAUGGUCCUUUGACUGUUUGACAAAUCCACGUGUCACGCCACGUCAUCUUCAAUUUAAAUUCAGUUUUCCCCAAUAUAGAUAGUCCCCCACUUCUCAUUUAUUUAUAUAUUAAAUAAUUUGGAAGUGGAUCCUGAAAAAGAAUUUUUGUCACAAUUAAUGCUUGUGUCAGUAUCGACGUCUCAUCUGUCUUUCACAUUUAAUACUCUACAUACGUGUCAACCUCUGAUUGGAUCUGCAGUUUUGUACCCUAUUUUCUAGGCCUGUUCAACUUCCUCAUCAUUGCUCCCCUUAAUUUGGACGGUUGUUCCCAUAUAAACUUUUAAUUCACACUUUCUUUGCCUUCUUAUUCACCAAUUUCCAUCAAGCAUUCACAUUUCCUCUAUUUCUUUUACUUCUACAUACCUCAAGAUUAUCCAACAAUGACAUGUCCAAACCCUAACCCCAAAAAGGUUUUACAUCUCAAUCAAUUCCCUAGUGCACCUAAACCUAUCAAACAUUCAAGAGGUAGAGGAGGACGAUUCCGCAGUAUGGGAUCUACACGUGGAGGUUCAACUGGUUCUGUACCUCCUUCUUUUGGUUUUGGAAUCAAAGGUUCUUCUUCCUAAACUCAAUCUUUGAAAGGUAAAGAAAUUUCAGACCCUUCUACAGAACCCAAACUUGAAGAAAUUAUACCAAAUGAUUUAUCUUUUGCAAGUGAUAAAGCAUACCUUCAAAAACAAAUUGCAAAAUUGGAAAAGACUGAUCAUUAUCCUUCUCUUAUAACUGAACUCACAAUCCCCACCAUUAAGAAAGAUUGCAACUGGAAAGAGAGUGUUUGUUUAUCAGUCCCCUCAAUAAACCAUAGAAUUUCUUCUUAUAGAAAUGGGUUUUCCUAUGUUUAUACUUACCCCUUCACUUUGGGGUUUAAACUUUCCAUAGAUCUAGUUAUCCUCGAUUUUCGUAAAUUUUUCAACAUUUGCUUAGCCCAAAUUGGACCCUUAGUUUGGAGAGCUGUAGCUUGUUUGAGAUUCUUGUCUUCUAAGGCAAAAAUUAAUUUUACCUUUUCCCAUCUUAUCCAUUUAUACCACCCCAGUUAAAUGCGCCAUGGGGUUGUUUUACCUAAACUACAAGAAGUAAGAGAGUUUUGGUAAAUGCCAAUGACGAUAAGGAUCGUGGGUGGUAUCUGCGUUACAUUGCUGUUUGUACAAUGGAUUUGCUGGUAGAAUCAAAUAUUCCCUUCCCUGAGAAGUGAAAUUUUGCACGUAAGUUUUUACUUACCUUCCCGUAUCUAUUUUCCAAGAUUUUGAUUUUAUCUUUAAACUUAUCCCUUUUUUGGUUUUUUUGUAGCAACCAUGGGGGAUGUAGAACAUACUCCCAACUUCCAUGGUUGGGUAGAUUCAAUUCUGAAAAUUGCUUCUAAGGAAGAUAGGACUUGGAAAAACCAUGGGGGAUGUAGAACCUAUUCCCAACUUCCGUGGUUGGGUAGAUUUGAUUCUGAAAAUUGCUUCUAAGGAAGAUAGAACUUGGAAGUCUAUUUCUUCCUUGCAUGGGUGGAUUGUAAAAACACACGGUAUGUAUCUCCUUUUGUGUAUAUUUUUCAAGUACAAAUAUAGAAUAAUAAAUCCAAAUCUUUCUUUUUAUGAGGAUUUGGAAUAAAAGGGAUGCCGCUUUGGCUAUGCGCACUACUGCUAACACCUCCCUUGGUUUGGACAAGGCAAAAGCACUUUUAGCCAAAAUAAAAGCCAUGGCAAUGGAAGAUGAGAACGAAGAAGAAGAUAUACCUCUUUGGUAUCUAGACCAAGGGCUAGGAGACGUGUUGCUAUGGAUGAAAAAAUUGAAGAUUCUCCUGCUCUUACCUCUUCUGAAAUUACUUCUUCUCCAGUUACAUCCAUUACCGAGACCGUUUUAAUCCAAUCCAAUGAAGAUAUUUGCACCUAGAGACAUGAGUGAAUCUGUUCACACUCUCCUCGAGAGUGGUUUUGAAAGUGGGGAACUUGGCCCCGUUCUUAAUGAAAUUCUCUUAUCUACUUUAAUUUCUAUUUCUCCUUCAACCGUACCUGUUUCUUUCCCUUUGGCAUCUUCCACUGUUCUUACAACUUCUUCUCCCGUUCCUUUUUAGCCCCCGUGCCUAUUCCUUCAGCUCCUGCUUUGGCUUCUGCUGCUCCUAUUGUUUUCACUUCUUCUACUACUCCUCCUUACACUAUUCCUUUUUCAAAUGUUCCUCGUUCCGAAUCUGGCCCAAAUAACAGAGGUUGGUCUAUGAGAAAGGUUACACUUGAAGUACCUGCUACUCAUAGUCUAUUAAGGAAGACUGGUGGAGCGGAUGUCUGGCUCGAGCCUCUUAUUGGAGAUGUGGAGAGAACAAAGAUGCAGAGCCACAACUAAUAUACUUUGAUGAAUGACGUAGUUCAUUAAACACCGAAGGUAACUUCCUUACUCAUGAUUAAUUACUUUCCCUUGACUUUAUGUUCUUAUUUUAUGCCUUAUGUUUGUAGGCAAACUUGAUAGGAACUGAAUUGAUGGGGAGGAUCUCUAUUUUAGAGACAAUGGCACGUGAAUCUGCUAAAGCUACUCAUGAUGCUAAAAUAAUAUUUGAAGAAGCACAGUUUGAGGCUCAAAAUUGGAAGGAACAAUUGGAAGGUGCUUUAAGAAGCAUGGAAGAGUUGCAGUCUACUAAAUUUCAACUAUAACAGCAAAUUCGAGCUUUAUUCUCCGAAUUAGGGAUUGCCACGGCUUCUACGAGCCAAGUAAAAAAGGAUGAAGAGAUUUUGAAGGAUUUUUGUCAAAGGCUAAUGAAGAAAUAAAAGAACUCAAAGCACUAAUGGAGAAAAAAGAAGAAUAUAGCAAGGAACUAGUGCAAACUUUGAACUAGACUAGGGCUGAUUUGAGAAUUUCUUCAGAUAAGGUUCGUGUGUUGGAGAGUUCAUGCGUCAAUCUUCAAACUUCCCUUAACUCCCACUUCGCUGAGCAAGACACAGUGAAGAAUACCUUAGCUAUAUGGGGAAGGGAUUAUGAAAACCUGGAGAAGGAUUACAAUUCUUUCGCAGAGAAUUUCAAUUACAAGGUUUAUUGGGCUUUCUUGAAAUCUCAUCGUGAUGCUUUAGUGAAGGCUUCAUAAGAAAAUUUUGACUUGCAAUAUGAGUUAGCCAAAGUUUUAGACAUUAUCUAGAAGAAUGAGGAACCUAUUGAAUUCCUUCUCCUGAUUAGGUAAUUGACAUCUCCUCUCCUACAGUUGGAACUCCCGGAGUUGAAGAGCCUUUGAACUUAGAGUCAACAGCUGAAAUUGUUGAAGUUACAAUUCGAGUGACCGAGGGUAAUUUAUCUAUAGCACAAUCUUUGGUAAUGGAAAUCCCCAUGUCUACUGCUUCUCUCGAUAAUGUUGAUACUUCAACUUCAGUUGAGAAUGCUUCUGUUGCUGCUCCUUUAGAAGUUAUUAUCAAGCCUAAGGAGGCUGCGACUUCUAAUGUUCCAAUUUCCUCAGUGACCAGUGAAAAUGCUUAAUCUUACCUUUUUUUUGUUUGUUUUUGAUGAUGUAAUUUCUUAGUGAAGUCCCCAGUUUCUAUAAUGGGGAAUCUUUUUCGAAAAACAAAUGCAUUGUAAUUGUUAAGUUUUUCCCUUAGCUUUUUAUGCUGAAAAGUUUGUAUAAUACUUCUUUAUUUUAUCCUUGUCUUUGUUCUAGACUUUACAGAAUAACUUUAUAUUUACCUUAGUCUUGCCUUUUUUAGGACUUAGAGAAUAAGUUAGCAUCUUUAUCCUUUCAGAAAAUGCUUUCAAUUGCCUAUUUUCUUUUUAGGACUUAGAGAAUAAGUUAGCAUCUUUAUCCUUUCAGAAAAUGCCUUCAUAAUCCUUCUCACGUGUUAUCGCCAUGAGGAAAAGAAAAGAGGGCGCAUUUAUUUAUUGACACUUAAUGAAGAAGACGUCUCAACUUCAUAAUGGUGUUUACCAUACGAUGAAAGAAAUAGGAACAUACAUGUUUCAUAUAAAACAACUUUUGUAAUGUUUUUAUUCAUGAACUUUGAUAAGUUUCUUGAGUAUUACAUGUAUUGAAGCAUAUCUAAACUUUCUCGCAACUGUUUUCAUUUAAAUGAACUUUGAUAAGUUUCUUGAGUAUUACAUGUAUUGAAGCAUAUCUAAACUUUCUCGCAACUGUUUUCUUUUAACAGAUUUAUAAAAUAUACAAGGUUUUUCAUAACCUAUUUACACAGUCAUGUCCCUGCCUUUACAUACUUAGGAAGGGUUUAAGCAGCGAUUGGAUUGAUACAUGACUUCUCAUAACUUGAUUUGAUUUUUAAUUCUUGAAUCUUGCUCUCUCGUAUCUAUUUUUCUGCCCAUAAUCGUGUGUAUAUAGUAUAGUCUCCCAAGUGUUUGAGCGGUGAAGUAUGAAGCCCUGAACACUUGUGUAUUUGCACCCAAUUUUUGGUCCUUUUCCUGAAACAGAAAAAUAUACGGGACUCGGAGGUGCAAUUAUAGAAGAAGACUGCCUAACUCGUGUGUAUUUCCAUCUGAUUAAUGUAACCCUGGGCUAGGAAUUUAAGAGUAUUCCAAUUUGAUGUGCAGGCCGUGACUCAUCAUUUGGCACGAGUUAGGGUUUUUUCCUAGCAUCUAAAAAAUCGUUAGUAUAAUUUUAACAAUUCAAAGGAAAAAAAAAAUUAACAUGGCGAUACCUGACUGUGGGUACUUCCCUAGAAGUAAUACCUCUUUAAAUGAACAAGAUUCAAUGUGAAGGUAGAACCUUGCCAUCCACUGUCUCUAGCUCGUAUGCUCCUUUCCCCACAAUUUCACGAAUUCGAUAAGUUCCUUCCCACGUUGGACUUAGCUUUCCUGAAUUAGUUGACUUCGUAGAUUGGAAAACUUUUCCAACACGAAUUCCCCAAUUCUGUGACUUGAGAUCCUAUUAACCGUGAUCCAUUAUCACGCACUAUCUCCUUUGCAACACCAAAGCGACAAGUUAUAUUCCUCCAAAUGAAGUCCUUAACUUCUUUCUCUCGUACAUAUUUAAAUGUUCCUGCGUCUACCCAUUUAGUGAAAAAAUCAAUUACUAUGAGUAGAAACUUUACCUGACCUUUUGCAUGGGGUAAUGGUCCUACGAUGUCCAUUCCCAAUUUCAUAAAGGGCCAUGGAUCUAUGAUAUGAUGUUAUAACUCAGCUGGUCUAUGCAUGUUAUUCCCAUAACUUUGACACUUAUUGUCACACUUAGAUACAAAGUCAUUCGCUUCUUCUUCCAUUUUAGGACAGUAAUAUCCUGCUCGAAUCAAUGUCUUUAUAAGUGAUCUGCCUCAUGCAUGGUUCCCACAAUGUCCUUCGUGUACUUCUCUCAUCACGUAUUCUGUUUGAGAAGGUCUGAGACACCUGGCUAAUGGUCCACCAAACAUUUUACGGUACAGGUUUCCUUGAUAUAGGCAAUAACGAGCAUCUUUCUUUCUUAGUGCAUGAGACUUCACCUUGUCUUCAGGUACAAUUCCGUGCUGCAAAAAAGACACAAUUUCGUUUCUCCAGUCUCAAAUUAAAUGAUUAAAGUUUACAUCUUUUUUAUCAGGGUGAAGAACGGAGUGGAAAAAAUGUAUGAUUGAAGCAUUCCCAUCUUUCACUAUAUCUACUGCAGAUGCGAGAUUGGCCAAAGCAUCCGCUUCCAAAUUUUCUUCUCUUGGAAUUUGUAUCACUUUCCAAGUUUGGAACUGUCUUAUUAAUUCCCAUACCUUUGCGAGAUACUCUUGCAUUCGAGUUUCUCUAGCCAUGUAAGUCCCCAACAUUUGAUUUACUACGAGCUAUGAGUCGCUUUUGAUUACGAUUUCAUGAUACCCUGUUCUAAUGCUAGCUCUAAACCCGCAAUCACAGCUUCAUACUCUGCUUCGUUAUUAGUUAUAGGGUGUCAUUUUAUAGCAUGCCUAAUUGUUUCACCUGUAGGUGGUAUAAGAACAAUUUCUAAACCUGCACCCAUUACAUUAGAUGAUCCAUCAGUAAAAAAGCCAAGUCCUCGGAUUAGCACCAUUAAAAACUUUAAAUUCUUUUUCUGCUUCUAAAUGCAUGCUUUGACUAAAAUCAGCUACGAUAUCGGCGAGUACUUGGGAUUUAAUAGCAGUUCGAGGUUGAUAAAUUAUUUCGUAUUCAUUUAGUUCUAUAGCCCAUUUUGCUAAUUUCCCUGAUAGGUCAUGUUUAUGCAAGAUACUUCGUAAAGGGAAAGUAAUUACAAGAACAAUAUGAUGUCAUUGGAAAUAAGGUCGUAGUUUUCUAGAUGCCAUGAUGAGAGCUAAUGGUAAUUUUUCUAGUUGUGGGUACCUUGUCUCUGCAUCUAAUAAAGUUUUACUCACAUAAUAAAUUGGAGAUUUCUUACCUUGGUCUUCACGAACUAAGACUGCACUUACGCUACUUCUGAAACUGCUAAAUAAAUUACUAACUUCUCACCUUCCUUAGGUUUCGCCAGUAAAGGAGGAUUUAAUAAAUACACUUUCAAAUCUCUCAAUUCUUGUUGACAAUCUUCAUUUCACUCGAAAUGAUCUUUCUUUUUGAGUGUAGAGAAAUAUUUGAAGCAUUUUUAUGAAGAUUUUGAAAUAAAUCUACCCAAGGCCCCUAUCCUUCCUGUUAAUCUCUAAACUUCUUUUUUAUUGGUAAGGACAUUAGGUAUUUCUUCAAUUGCUUUAAUAUGGGAAGGAUUUACCUCAAUACCACGGUUAGAAAUAAUAAAACCUAAAACUUUACCUGAAACAACUCCAAAUGCACAUUUUUCAGGAUUGAGUUUCAUAUUAAAUUUUCGCAAGAUUUCAAAGGUAACAGUUAAUUGGGAAAUAUGGUCAUGGGAAUGCUAGGUUUUGACGAGCAUAUCGUCUAUACAUACCUCCAUUUUUUUUCAUAAAUGUUCUUCAAACAUUUUGGUGACUAACCUUUGAUAGGUUGCUCCCGCAUUUUUUAGACCGAAGGGCAUUACUUUGUAACAGCAAGUCCCCUGGUCUGUGAUGAAAGAAGUCUUUCCUCAUCACCGGGGUUCAUUUUAAUUUGGUUGUACCCCGAAUAUGCAUCUAAAAAACUUAAAAGUUCAUGACCUGCACUUUCAUCAAUCAAUUGAUCUAUGUAGGGUAAAGGAAAAGAAUCAGUUGGGAAAGCUUUGUUUACAUCAGUGUAAUCUACACAAACUCGCCACUUACCAUUCUUCUUAGGUACGACCACCGUAUUAUCUAACCAAUCAGGGUAUUGUACCUCACGAAUGGAUCCGAUUUUUAAUAACUUUUGCAUCUCAUCUUGAAUUACUUAAUUUUUGAAAGCCCCUUGCUUUCUUUUAUUUUUCUUGAUUGCAGUAAAAGAUGGGUCUUCGUUAAGCUUAUGAUUCAUCACAUCCGGUGGAAUACCUGUCAUAUCAGCAUGGGACCAGGCAAAACAAUACACGUUAGCUUUUAAAAAUUCAAUUAAUUUACCUCGUAUGUCGGUAUUUUGAUUGGCUCAUAAGUAAACAUUUUUCUCUGGCCAUUGUUCAAAUAACAAUACAACGUCGAGUUCUUCUAUUGUUUUUUUGAUGUUCUCGUUUUCUUCAGUUUCUAUAAUUACGUUAGGACUCGAAUCUAAAUCCAUUUUUUCAGUUGAAGUUUGAUUGCUGACACCUUCAACUAUUUCACGUAAUUGCAAUUUCUGUUUACUCGCGGUACUUGUAUCUGCUAUUACGUUGAUACAUUUGGCUAUUUGUUGAUCCCCUCGAAUUUGACAUAUUUCCCAGGGUGAUGGAAAUUUAAUGCAUUUAUGUAAGGUUGAUGGAACAACAUCCAUAUUAUGGAUCCAUGGUCUCAGCAUAAUUAUAUUGUAUGCCAUUUCCAUGUCAACUACCUGAAACUUAGUUUAUUUAAUAACACCUGCAGAAUAAGUCGUCAGAAUUACCUCACCUUUUGUUACCACACUUGAAUUGUCGAAGCACGACAAAGCGUGCGCCUUUGGUAUCAUUCUAUCUUCAGCUUGCAUUUCCCGUAGCACUGUUAGUAGAAUGAUAUUUACAGAACUACCUGGAUCAAUCAAAACUCUUUUUACAUCAGUGUCAUGUAUAAUUAAAGAUAUUGCCAGAGCGUCGUUAUGAGGGAUAGCCACUCCUUCCGUAUCUGCAUCAUCGAAUCUUAUACUUCAUGUUCUAAUGUUUUCCGUAAUCGCUUGUCGUGCGUGAUUGUCAUUUUGGAAACUUUUUUUGAAGCUGUGUCAUAUCUGCAUAAUCGAAGCUUAUACUGUCAUGUUCUAAGGUUUGCCGUACUCGCUCGCCAUGUGUGAUUGUCAUUUUGGAAACUAUGUUUGAAGCCUUGUAUGUUACUUCGUAUAUAUCUUCCCCUCCACUGAUGACAUUUGCUACCCUCUUAGGUGAAGGUGGUUUCGGUGGCUCUUGCCUAUUUUUCAUGUAGGUUUGCUUUCCUUUUUCACUGAACAGCUCCGUGAGAUAUCCUUGUUUCAAUAAAUGAUCUACUUCACUCUGUAGAAAUCUGCUUUGUGAGGUUUUAUGUCCAUGGUCAUUGUGAAAUUCACACCAAUGGCCUGGGCUACGUCUGUUUGGAUUUGACCGCAUCUCUUUUGGCCACCGUACCUUAUCUCCCAUACUCUUUAGAAUAGCUACGAUCUUGGAAUUAGUUACAUUGAAACUGUGACAAGAAAACUCGUGUCAUUUAAUUUCUAUCAUCAUCUCAUGGCUCUUAGUUAUUUCAAUCAUCUUUGAACCUGGAUUAAGAUCCGGUUCCCCUGUCUCUCGCCCUUUGAUUAUAAUGUUGAUUGUUCUGUCUAGAACACAGGUCUUUUCCUCCAGGUCCCAUAUAUGGAUCGUACCUGUUCUUACCUGACCAUUUUUCGGAUUCAGAUCUUCUGGACCCGCCUCUAUCUUCUCUUUGAUGUUGAUAUAAGGUAUCUUCUUCAAUUCUGAGCUUCAUAAUGUACCUGUUAUAAACAUCGUUCCAAUUAGUUGCGGGAAAUUCACGAAGGCUUUCUUUAUGUCUUCUCGUGGCUUCUGAACUUUUGUCAUUCAAAUUACUUGCAAAAGCUAUUGCUGCCCAAUNNNNNNNNNNNNNNNNNNNNNNNNNNNNNNNNNNNNNNNNNNNNNNNNNNNNNNNNNNNNNNNNNNNNNNNNNNNNNUCAUUCAAAUUACUUGCAAAAGCUACUGCUGCCCAAUUAUCCAGUACACGGGGCAACAUCAUUCUUUCACGUUGGAAUAUAUCAAUGAAAUCUCAGAGCAAUUCAGAGUUCCCUUGCUUGAUUUUAAAGAUAUCCUCCAUUCUCUUUUCAACCUCCUGAGCUCCCGAGUGUGCUUUUAUAAAAGAAUCUAUAAGCUCAACAAAAGAAUUUAUUGAAUUUUCAGGUAAAAGAGAAUACCAGGUUAAUGCACCCCUGGUGAGCGUCUGCCCAAACAUUUUUACCAACACCGACUCAAUUUCUUAUUUGGUCAAAUCGUUGCCUUUCGCUCCUGUUGUAAAUGCAGUUACAUGGUCACGAGGGUCCGUUGUACCAUCAUAUUUCAGAAUGUCAGGCAUUUUAAAUUUCUUUGGAAUUGGUAGAGGAGCAGCACUUUGUUUCCACGGUUGUUGCGAGUAUUUAUCCACAUCCACUCCUUUUAUCACAUGUGGAACUCAAGGGAUAUUCUCAAUACGCUCGUUCUGCUCCUUGAGUUGUUUCCACAAGGUUAGUACCAAAUUUUGAAGAUAAGAAUUACCUGUAUUACCUGGUUUUCCCUCUUGCGAGUCACUGGGAGUUAUUCCAUUGCCAGAAUUAACUAGACCAGAGCGAGGGAUUUCCAACGUGUUGUUGUUUGGCGUUGCUGGUGCAGCAGGCAAUCGACUAACUAAAGCUUGCAAGGAUCUAUCAAUUCGUGAGUCGAUUAUUUUCUGUAAAAGUUCAUCUUUUGUUUCAGCUUCUCCGUCAACAUGCUCAGACAUAUCAUUUGGAGUUCCUUCACGAGAUGCACGUGGAGAAGCUUGAGGGAUAGCGUUGUUAAGUUCAUCAUCAUCAACUUGAUGGUUCUGAUUGCCUUGGUUAUUGCUGUCAUUGUUGUUCGACAUAUCGAUAAUAUUAUCAGAUUCGCGGUAAUGGAACCAAUUUGUUUAACCAACAAAUGUGAUUUGGUCAAAGCUUGAAUUUUAAAGAGAAGAAAUUGGGUUAUUGAUAAUCAAAGAGACCGAAAUAUAAUUGGCUUUCAAAGAAUAAUAAUAAAGCAAUAAGAAGUUUGUAUUUCACUAUGAUGUCAAGAAUAUUCUGUGUCCUUGCAAAUGAUGAAACUUCCUCCUUUUAUAGUUGAAAAAGAGUAACAUAUUGAUCAAAUUAAUAAAUAGCAUUUAAUGAGACGUUACAUAAUCAUUGCUAUUAAAUACUGAUUAGCUAACGUAUCAGGCAUUUAAUAAUGAACGUAGACUACUUUUUUUCAUCAGAUUCUUGCCUCCAUUGCCCUUUUUAUCCUUUGAUAUUAAAUGACUUGAAUAGGCACGAGAUUCGUAUCUAAGAUUCUCUCUCGUGUCUAUUUCAUUUCUUUCACCCGUGCCUGUUAUCUUCCGCGCCUUUUAAUCAUUCAUUAUCCUUUGACUGUUUGACCAAUCCACGUAUCACGCCACAUUAUCUUCAACCUGUUGUCUUCUGUGCCUUUUAAUAAUUUAUGGUCCUUUGACUAUUUGACCAAUCCACAUGUCACGCCAGGUCAUCUAAAAUAUAAAUUCAAUUUUCCCCAACACAAUAGGAUUUUGGAAGAUAUACUUCAAUGGAUCCUAGCGUGAAAUGAGAUAAGUCAUAUACGAUGACAGGUAGUGUUUCAACUUUUGUGCUACCCAAUUAAAAGCGCAACAGGUCUUUUCAAGUUGAGUAUACUUAAACUCAUAUAAUGUAAUCUUGGUUAGAUAAUAAAUGGCUUGUUCCUUCCUCCCUGUACUGUCGUAUUUCCCUAAUACGCAACCAAACGAAUUCUCCAGUACAGUCAUAUAGAGAAUCACUGGUCUUCCGGGUUCAGGUGGAACCAACACGGGUGGAUUUGACAGGUACCCCUUGAUUUUGUCAAAUGCUUCUUGACAUUCCGCCGUCCAUUCUACCGCAGCAUCUUUCUUCAGCAGCCGAAAUAUGGGCUCACAAGUCGCUGUGAGUUGAGCGAUGAACCUGCUGAUAUAAUUUAAUCUUCCCAAAAGACUCAUCACAUCUGUUUUGUGGUUCGGUGGUGGUAAAUCUUGGAUGGAUUUGAUCCUAGAUGGGUCCAACUCAAUACCUAGUCGACUGACGAUGAAUCUUAGUAGCUUUCCUGAUGGAACCCCAAAGGCACAUUUGGCCGGCUUGAGCUGAUUAUUAUACCUUAGAAGUCUUUGAAAGAACUUCCUUAGGUCUGCUACAUGGUAUUCUUGACGCCAGGACUUCAUAAUCACAUCAUCCACGUACACUUCAAUCUCUUUGUGUAUCAUGUUAUGAAACACAGUAGUCAUUGCUCUUAUAUACGUUGCCCCACCAUUCUUCAAAUCGAAUGACAUUACCCGGUAGAUGUAAGUUCCCCAGCCGUCUUUUCUGCAUCUUUUUCAUCCAUUAAGAUUUGAUGAUGUCCUGUAGAGCAGUCCACAAAGGAUCCGAUCUCGCGCCCGAUGCAAUUAUCGAUCAAGAUAUGGAUAUUGGGCAAUGGAAAAUUAUCCUUAGGGAUUGCUUGUUGAGAUUGCGGUAGUCUAUACAUACCCUGAUCUUUCCAUCUUUCUUCGGCACUGGUACAACAUUGGCCAACCAACCGGGAUAUCGAGUGACCCGAAUAACUUUUGCCUACAGCUGCUUGGUCAGUUCUUCUUUGAUCUUCACACUCAAAUCUGUACAAUUAAGUCGGAGUCAGAUUGAUUGUUUAGACUAGGUCGAAGAUCCGUUGUGCAUGCUAUGUCAUUAGGACUAGUAAAAAGAGAACUGUUCAGAAAGAAAAAGAAGAAACAAAAAUUAAAACAUGAAAAGAAAAGGAAACUUUCAUUUUUAUUAAAAUGUAGAAUAACAGAGUUUCACACUUUACUGGAUACAAAUAAAACCAAAACUGGAUUACAACUCUGGAAUAAUCUAGGAAACAAGAAAGAAAAUCCAGAGCCUACUACCAAGACUCCCUUCGAUUAGGAAAAGGAGUAGCCGUCCAGUUGUUGAUACUAGCCUUAGGCCCCACAAAUUGUAUGUCCGCCCUGCUGGAACCCUUUCAAACUUCUAUCACAUGGACAUCAGCGAACAUCCUUUCGAAGCUCUGAUUUAAAUCCCAGUCCAUCCCAAUCAGUGGUUCGAGAAUUUUUGGGAACGAUGACCUCUUUGUACUUGCUUUAACAAAGGAUCUGGAAAGGCGUGGAACUGGCUUGGGAAGAACCCAAACUCUCUUCUUCAUUUUCCGCACUCGCUUUAUAUCUGCCGCAGUAGGUUUGAAUCCCAAUCCAAAGGUCUCUAAAUUCUUGGGCAAGGAGACAGGUUGAACAAUACACUGAAGCUCAGCCCCCUGACCUUUUGCUGGCACAAACCCAUUACCCAGCAUCUUUGAAGCCGUCAUGAUAGUUGCGGAAGCUAUCCUGGGGAGUGGGAGGUCCUCACCUUCAGAAAUUUUAUCCACUGAAAACCUGGAAAUCUCGGCCUGUAGACCUUUUCCUGGCACGAAUCCAUUGCCCAGCAUCUCCGAGACCAUCAUGACGGUUGCGGGGCUACCAUGGGAAGCGGGAAGUCUUCUUCUUCAGAAAGUUUAUUUACUAAAACCCCAUCGAAAACUUGGUACACCCAUGGCCCUUCAUCGUCAUCAGUCUUUAUGAACGACACAAUAUCAUCACCUCCAAUGCGUGUACCGUCGUCCUCGUGCAGCACUAUCUCCUGCCUAUCCCAUUCAAAUUUCACCAUCUGGUGUAAUGUAGAAGGUACUGCUUUGGCAGCAUGGAUCCAAGGUCGCCCAAGUAGAAGAUUGUAUGAUACUGCCAUAUCAACCACUUGGAAUUCCAUGGUGAAUUCUACUGGAUCAAUGGUCAAUUCCAGAGUGAUACCGCCACAUCAACCACUUGAACUCCAUUGUGAAUUCUACUGGACAUAUGGAUAUAUUCCAGUAUGAUGUCACCUACCCUGUUGGUACCACCUCCAUCGAAACCUCGGACACAGACGUUGUUCUUGUGAAUCCGGUCAUGAUCAAUUUUCAUCAUGUUCAAAGUAGCCAAAGUACAGAUAUUGGCACUCGACCCAUUAUCAACCAAUACUCGGUGACCACCAAGUCUUUACAUUUCACGGUCAAAUACAAGGCUUUGUUGUGUUCUGUACCCUCUGUUGGUAACUCAUCAUCUGAAAAUCUCACCCGGUUUACUUCGACGAUUUUGUGCACUAUCUUCUCCAAGUGAUUUAAAGAACGUUUGUAGGAAGUAGUCCACCAUUUCCCCCUCUCUCAUGGGAGGACCAACCCUGGCUGCUUGUUCUCUCAAGCGGAAACCGAAUUCACGGAAGCUUUCUCUGGGUUUCUUCCCUAUCCUCAGCAAUGUGAGACUGUCAGGGACUAUCUCGAGAUUAUAUUGGAACUGACCUGCGAAAGCCUACGCUAGAUCAUCCCAGCGGUACCACUUGGUGGGAUCUUGUCUUGUGUACCAUUAAAGUGCAGAUCCACUUAAGCUUUGGCCAGAAUAAGCUAUCAGUAGCUCAUCUUUGCCACCCGCCCCUCUCAUUUUGCUACAAAAGCCACGUAAAUGUGCCAUAGGAUUGUCGUGCCCCUCGUAUAAAUCAAACUUGGGCAUCUUGAACCCUGAUGGUAAUUGGACGUCAGGGAAAGGGCAUAGACCUUUGUACGCCAGGCUGACCUGAUUACCAUAGGAUCACCGUGCCCCUCGUAUAAGUCAAAUUUGGGCAUCUUGAACCCUGCUGGUAACUGGACAUCAGAAAAAUGGCAUAGAUAUUUGUAGGCCAAACUGACCUGAUUGCCCAACCCAUGCAUGCUCCUGAAGGUUUGCUCUAGGCUUUUGUACUUCCUCAUUACCUCAUCUUGUUCCGGGACCUUCGCCGGCUUUUCAGUCUCUGCCGGGAUUUCCAAGUGGGGAUUAUGGGUAUGAGGUUCUGGUGCAUUAAAUGUGGGUUCAAGUGGAUAAUAUUGAGCAUUAUGAGGCUGAAACAACGGCACACUAGUUGAUCUUUGCAGCGUGGCUGGUGGGGGUCCCAUAAAAAUAGUAAUGCUUGGUGGUGGAAAGUGUUGAUUGGGAAGUGGAUCUUGGGUAUCAUAGGUGCUUCUCCCCUGAUAAUUAUGAUGAUACAAUAUGCUUUUUGAAAGGCCAGGGUGAGGGUAUUCUGGCUUAUGCCCUAAUGUAGGAUUAAUAUGUGGUUUAGGGCUCUUCUGCACUUUGGCCAAGGCUAACUGCAUCGCAUUCAUUUCCAACCCUUUCAUUUCUAUCUUCUCCAAUGCCUCCUUCAGCAAUUGGCUUACUGGCCUCUCUUCCUCGACGAUGUGUUCUAAAGUAGUCAUGCUUAUUGGUUGAGGUCCUUUAGAUCUGGUUUGAUAGUGAUAUAAUGCCACAAUGCUUUAACAACUAACUGUAUGAUAUUUGGAAAACAACAAACUUGUGUACGGUAGAGUUAAACAUAUAUGGUAAUCCCACAUUACGGAUGCAAUGUUCCUAUGCACUGAACCACUUCUAUCAUGUUUUUGCUCCAACCGCAUGCAUCAUCCCGACUUGUUUUAUUUUCCUUUAAAGUGUUUAGGGAACCUUCACUUUCCUCUCUUUUAUUUUCUUUUCUUUUAUCAUCCCUUUCUUCUUUUUUUUAGUGGUGGUCAAAUCUUAUGCGGAUUGCCUUCGUAUCACAUCCCUGCGUGAAUCAGACAGGGCGGAGUUCUGCCAAUAAAAUAUAAACAACAAUGAAACUUUUUUUUUAAAAUUUUCAUUAAUACCGAAAAUAUACAAGGUAGAUCUCUAGUAGUAGCAUUGACUUGCUACUACUCCUUUACAUCACAAUCAAUCUAUAAUAAAUACCUAACUACUCUUUCACUAAUUGCAAUUUAGUAUAGUAGCUAGCUAUUACAAACUAUAUCUAUGGAAAACUGUUAAUUUGCCGCAAGCCAUUUUGCCAUUGACUACAAUUCCUACCUCGAAUAUGAAUAUCAUGGAAAACUGUUAAUUUGCCGCAAGCCAUUUUGCCAUCGACUAUAAUUCCUGCCUCGAGUAUGAAUAUGUAAAACAAUUUCACUGCAAAUCUGAUUCUCCUCAUAGGCUUUCUUUUCAAAUAUGAUGUUGUUUCUCUCCCUCCAGAUUAGUACAACGGUACUGGUAAACACACAAGCUAAUAUAGCAUUGAUCCCCACUCUGCUUUUUUGCUUUACUACUUAUCCAUUUCAAUUCAGUUGCCCAGUCUCCAACAGUUCUUUGAUGCCCCAGCCAUAAAUAGAGUCUAGACAACAGAUUCUUUGUGAUUGAACAGUCAAAAAAUAAGUGGUUAAAUGAUUCUACACUCUGUUUACAGAAAACACAUGUUACAGGCACUUGAAUGCCAAUUUUCUGCAAUCUGUCCACUGUUGGUAGCCUCUGUUGUGCAGCUAACCACAUAGUGAAACUAUGCCUAGGAUGAACAUUGGCAAGCAACAUCAAACUCUUCCAUUCAAUCAUAGGCAUGUAGUGACAUAUAGUAAACUUCUUGGAGUCUAACGGUAUCCCCGGAUAUUUAAAUGGCAGUUCUCCUUCAGUAAAACCCAGUGUCUCCAGAAUUUCCUCUCUGACAUUCUGCUUUAUUCCAGCCAUGUAUAUUGCACUCUUGUUAACAUUUUGUUUGCAAACCAGAUGCUUUAGAGAAUCUGUGGAAAGCCUCCUUUAAAAUUUUAAUAGAAACAAAGUCAGCUCUGCACAACAUUAAUAAAUCAUCAACAAAGCAUACAUGAAUAUUAUUAAGCUUUCUGCAUUAAGGAUGAAAAUUGAAAUCACCAUUCUUAUGCAGCUGUCCCAGUUCCCUAUUCAAAUAUUCCAUAGCAAUCACAAAUAGAUAAGGAGACAUAGGGUCACCUUGCCUAAUACCUCUCCUAGCAAUGAAUGGCUUAGUUAGGCCACCAUUCAGUACUAGGAAAUAGGAAACAGAAGUAACACAAGCCAUUAUCCAGUUUAGAAAAUUAGCAGGAAAUCCAAGGUCAAUAAGGACAUGUUUAAGAAAGCCCCAUUCAAGAGUGUCAUAAGCCUUCCUUAGAUCCACCUUGAGUACACAUCUUGGCCUGAUACCCCUCUUAGCUUUGAAAGGUUUUGUUAAGCCACCAUUCAGAGCUAGAGAAUAUGAGACUGUAGUGACACAUGCCAUUAUCCAUUGAACAAAUUUAGCAGGGAAUCCUAGAUCAAUAAGAACCUGUUUAAGGAAACUCCAUUCCAAAGUAUCAUAAGCCUUUUUCAGAUCCACUUUCAAGACACAUCUGGGAGACACUCCUUUCCUAGAAUAGCCUUCGAAGAUUUCAUGGCUAAAUAGAAUGUUAUCAACUAUGCUUCUUCCUUCAAUGAAAGCUGAUUGAGCCUACCCAAUUAAAUCUCCAAUCACACUUUUCAUUCUUUCAGUAAUGACUUUGGAUAUGAUCUUCUACAAGGUAGUGCAGCAAGCUAUGGGCCUGUAAUCUUUAACUUUUGCAGGAGCUUUAACUUUGGGAACAAGUGCAAUAGCUGUUGCAUUAAUCAUUUGAGGCAUUCUGUUGGUGGAGAAGAACUCUUUUGCAGCAGCAAGUAUAUUAGCCUUUACUAUUUCCCAGUUCUUAGUAAAGAAAUAUUUUUUUUGAAAUUUUCAAUUUUCAUGAUAAAACAAACUGGGUUUCAAAGGUUUAAAGAUGACCUACAAACUAUAAAAAAAUAAAAAAACUCACAUAUUCUAAUCAAAAUAAUUGCAAACUUAAAAACAAACGACCAGCUACCUUUCCAUGUUUGUCAAAUUCAACCAUAUGGCUGUUUUUGCAAAUGUGACCCUUUCACAUGAAUUUUGAGGCAGAGGAGGAUUAUGUUAUGACAUGUCAUAAAUUUGUUCGUUCUUUUACAAAAAUAACAUUUCAACAAUUAAAAGAUAUUCUAAGGCUAUCUCGACAAGAAUGGUUUAAGACAUCGCCGAAGCUGGCUGGGCUUAUUUUGACAAAAAUCCAAAUGGCACUCACUUGCCCACUCACUCUUUUUUUUUUCAAAUUGAAAUAUAAGACCUGGUAUUACAAACACGGCCUUUCAGCACCUCAGAUACGAAGAUGUUAAGGAUGAGUUAGGUAACCGGCCCAAAUCUUAAAACAAUGAUUAAAGGUGGCUGUUAAUGCAAAGUCAUCCUUCCCGCAUCCCUUUCGGGAACAUUCCGCUAUUAUAAAAAAAACAACAUCACCGACUUAUUUACGACUCUUUUCUUUUUUCUUUUUAUUUUUUUCAAAAUGGGAGACCUGAUAUUGCAAACACUGCCUUUCAGCGUCUUGGGGACGAAGAUUGUAAGGCUCUAUGGGUCAACCGACCAAAAAUCUAAACAAUGACCAAAGGUGGCCUGUUAAUGUAAUUUCAGCCUUCCGGUGUCCCUUUCGAGAACAUUCGUCUAUUUUUGACAAAAAUGGCAACACCCAACUUAUUUAUGACGAUAAUCAAAAUUAAUUUUUUUUUGGAUAUUUUAGCAAAUGGGGAGGUUGGACCCGAUUAAAGCUGCAUGUGUAUCUCACAUCCGGUGAGAAUCAAACCAGUGUAGUUCGCCAGGAGAACAAGCUAAAUUUGAAAACAAGUAUUUUUUUUCAAAUAAAUCAAACUAAAAACGUUUCUUUUUUUCAUUUUUUCAAAAUUUUGCCGGUCAGCAUGCCAGUUCGAAGCAAACAAAUGCAUAAAACAGGAUGCAUCAGGAUGGUCUUUUAACUUGAGAUUGCGUGUCCUAGACGGACCCAACCUCCGUUUUGAGUCCCUUAAGUCAAAUGCACAUGAUGCAAAUAAACGUUCCUACUAGGGAUCCGUCAUGAAGUCUUGUCAUACUAGGUUUUACUGCCUUGGGUGUGAGGGGUAUCCAGACUGGCCAUAAAACGAGCGGACAACUCGAGUUGGGAAGGGGUAGCGUACUGGGAGCAAAGCUUUUCCAGCUUUAGCUACUGAACCGUCCCCGUUCUUAAAUAUGGGUGACUGAUAAUCCUUCACCAGGAGCCCAUGCCCACCAGCUUUAUCUCAACAAAGAAUGGGGCGCGUAUCCGCAAUUCCCGGGGUUGUAUUGAGAAGACUCAGAGGGGUGCGCAAGAAGACAGUUUAUAAUAUAGUUCAGCAAUAUCAAAGUGGUAAAACAGUCAACUAGCAUAGUAAGAACAAAUAAUAUAACAAAAAUCAGAUAAAGCCAAAAAUAAAAAUUUAUCUAAGCUCUAAUUUCUAACCCUGAGCCAGUGGUUCUGGGUUAUAUUUCCCCAGCGGAGUCGCCAAAACUUUCGUACCUCCUUUUUCUGCCCCGCGAGGGCGCAGAGGAGUUUUUCCAAUUAAAAGACAAUCGAACGGGAUUUGUUUAUUUAUUUCAGAGUUGCCACUUGGGAGAUUUAGGGUGUCCCAAGUCACCGGUUUAAUCCCAAAUCAAGGAAAAGAAUAAAUCCAUAGUACAGUCUGCGUACUAGAAAUCCAGAUAAGGAAUUCUGUUAACCCGAGAUAAGGUGUGAAGCAUUCCCAAAUUCCGUGGUUCUAGCACGGUCGCUCAACUGUCAUAUUUAGCUUAUUUAUCUGAUUUCAUUACAUGACGAGCAUAUGUGCAAAUUUUAACUUUGAACCGAUUUUUUCAUUUAUUUAUUUUUAAAAAAAUUGCAACGUCGUGAGAAUGCGUCUCUAACUGCGUCACAUAAAAGUAUUCGAAAUUUUUGAUGUGUUCCGACUUCGUUGAGAUUUGAAUUUGGGUCGCAUAAAUGUAUACCCGAGUUUAGCGAGGUAACAUUAUUGAAAUAAGCGUCUAGAGAUGCUAACGCGUUAUUAUUUUUGAGAAGGCCGGGAAGUUUGCUAAACGGCAUGUCCAAAAAUCUAUGCAUUUAUACAUACAUUUAAUAAGGGCCCCGUAGUUGGUAUUUUUGUUUUGGCGAGGUGUGUCUUAUUUCAUUUUGAAAUGAUGUCCUAGAGCAACUACAUUUGCUAUUUCAUUGCGUCUCUAAAAAUGGAAGGAAAGUCCUAUAUUAUUUACAUGCUAGAAUUAUUAGCCUAAGUUAUAAAGAUGGUAUCAUUUUAUAAAUGAAAAGGGGGGUAAAGGGGAAGUUCUGCCGUUUUUGGGCCCAGGCCAAGCGUGAAUAAUGCAGAAUUUGGGCCUGGGCCAUCUUAUAUUAUUUUGGGCCUAAAUUACAUCAUACUGCAUGUUUCGAAUUUGCAAGAUGGUAGAAACAAAAUUAAACCCUAAGGGAAAGAAAAAAUGUUUACAACAGUUGAAUGAACAAAUAAUUAAUUAAGCAGGUAAACUACUGAUUACUUAACAAAUUUAAACUUAGUCAUGCAUUUUAAAGGGACUACAAGUUAAGCGAAUUGAAAUGACGGAAAACUUACUGCAGUACUGAUCCUAAUCUAACUAGCAUACAUGAGUUUGCAAAUUUAACCUAUUACAAAUUGGACCUAAUCGAUACAUUGCAGUUAAUUAAAUGAUUCGAGUGAGUUAAUAAUUAACAAAUACAUAUUCAGCUUAGAAUAUAAAUUACAGCUAAUUGGUUUCAAGCCUUAAAGUUGCAUUUUUUAUUCAUGCUUCAAGUGUUCCAGUUUACAUUGUGUACCAGGAUAGAAGUUGUGUACCUUGUAAUUGACAAAGCAAAGGAAAAGAGGAAGAUCAGUAAUGAGCAGUAGUAGCACAACACAUCAACACAAAUUUCAGCAACAAAUUCAGCAACACCAAUGGUAGACCAAUAAUAACACCAAUGGAACAGUGAUGCAUAAAAACGCAGUACCAGAUUCGAAAACCCACAAAUAAACUCCAAUAACCAAUAUAAUAGUAGCCCAAUAACCUACCAAACUCCGUAAGAGAAUAGAUGAAAAUCAAAGAUAUUUAUAGCAAUCAACAAGUCGAAACAACACGAACCAGAACCAGUGAACAUAAGAACAAUUCUGAUUCUUUUGGGAUUUAAAAGUUAGUUUACAUUUCACUGUUAAAUUCUGAAAAUCUGAUUGUCAAAAAUUCCAUCUUUGUUUUGAAUUUUGCUCUCUCUCUCUCUCUCUCUCCUCUCUCUCUCUCUCUCUAUCUCUCCGAUUGUCUUCCUCAAAUUGAAUAUGCUUUGUCUAUUUAAAGACCAAAAUCAGUCCAUUCUUUAUUCAGAUUAUAACUUUUUCAGCAUGUAUUGUCCCUCCCAUGUGUAUUUCUACCCUUUCAUCCCUAACCCCACGCUUAUUUUCUGAUAUCCGAACUCAAAAGUUCCAAAAUAGAGUAUAUUACCCGCAGUUCCCGUUAAAAAUUCAAAAAGGAGUAUAUUCCCCUGACAACCCCUUUUUAUUAUUGAAAGGCUUUCCUUUUAUUAAACUAAACAAGUAUGGCCAGGCUGAAUCAGGCGUGCCUGACAGCCCAUAUUGUUUCCACUCAAAUGGAUUCAAAUAACAAAUAGAAAAAUGACUUAAAUGUUUUACUGAAGCAUACAGACCACUUGACAAUCACAUGGCUUCCAUUCAAACAUUGCAGUUUAAUUCAGUGAAUUACAUUUAAUUCAUCAGUUAAAAUAAAUCCUAGCCUGAUCAAUAAAUGGUACAAAUUGAAUCCAUAAUCAGAAUUGAAAAAAAUAUGAAUCAAAAUCAUCAGGUCAUUCCAACAUUCAAAAUUGUGUAAUUAGUCGAUGACAUUUAUAAAAUCGACUAUAUAUUACGACAUAUAUAAUCGAUAACAAAAUAAUCGACGCACAAACACCGAUUCACGGUUUUUGGGCAACAAGUGGGGAAAUGCAAAACUAAUCAUUCGACGAUAUUAAUCGAAAUGAAUAUGUAUUCUAUAACAAACGCAAAUAACAAACAACCAGAACAAAAAUCGACCAAAUAAAAGGUCUUGAGGAGGAGAACAUAAGAGUUUGAAAAAAGGAUAACUGAAUAAAAAACUGAACGUAAUAACGAGUAUAAACAUAGAAAAAGAAGUAGAAAUACCUCGAGAGAAAAAUCAGAGAUCAAAACGAACUUGGACCAAUUUCGGACAUGAACUUUCUAGGUCCAACGGAUUUUAAAAUAAGUGUUCUCAACUGAGAACACCUCAAUUAAAUUCAAUUAGACCCCAAACCCUAAUUAAUCGCGUGGAUUUCCUAAUCUGGUUCUCUAUGGUUAUUCAGGGCUCAAUUUGGUGUCCAAAUGGUAUAUGCUUGAUUCGAAUGGGACCAAAGGUGUUUAUGGCAUGUUAGAUGUCAGGGAGUUCCAUGGUGUGAGUUUGAGGCUAGUUGGGGUAGGUUUGGGUUUCACUCGAAUCUUCGAUUGAAGAUUCGAGAAGGUGGAGAUUAAUUCAAGGCAAGCGGUUAACGGAUUCGUGUUCAAGGUGCAAAUGGGGUUAAAGGGUGUUAAUUUUGUCGUUGGUGGCAUUUUUGCCGUCGGGUUUCAGGUGAAAGGAUUGGGUGCGGCUAGGGUUAUCGAGGGUUCGUUGGUCUCUGGUUCUUGGAGACGAAGGGAAGGGUAAUGGCUUGGGGAGU